Molecule: ribosomal RNA, 250 nt
Filed under: uncultured bacterium
Lineage: Bacteria
Description: partial 16S ribosomal RNA
Rfam family: Bacterial small subunit ribosomal RNA
Source: RNAcentral
GACAGAGGUGGCAAGCGUUGUUCGGAAUUACUGGGCUUAAAGGGCGCGUAGGUGGUGAAGUAAGUCCGGGGUGGAAGGCUGAGGCUUAACCUUGGAAUUGCCCUGGAAACUACUUUACUUGAGUCAGCGAGGGGAUGGCGGAAUUCCCGGUGUAGCGGUGAAAUGCGUAGAUAUCGGGAGGAAGGCCGGUGGCGAAGGCGGCCAUCUGGCGCUGAACUGACACUGAGGCGCGAAAGCGUGGGGAGCAAAC